This 584-nucleotide ribosomal RNA is filed under the name Paramyrothecium foliicola. RNAcentral's name for it is "partial large subunit ribosomal RNA". It matches the Rfam family "Eukaryotic large subunit ribosomal RNA", at positions 36 to 647 of the family's 3401-position model. The record is from RNAcentral. Lineage: Eukaryota; Fungi; Ascomycota; Sordariomycetes; Hypocreales; Stachybotryaceae.
UAGCAUAUCAAUAAGCGGAGGAAAAGAAACCAACAGGGAUUGCCUCAGUAACGGCGAGUGAAGCGGCAACAGCUCAAAUUUGAAAUCUGGCCCUAGGCCCGAGUUGUAAUUUGCAGAGGAUGCUUUUGGUGAGGUGCCUUCCGAGUUCCCUGGAACGGGACGCCAUAGAGGGUGAGAGCCCCGUCUGGUCGGACACCGAGCCUCUGUAAAGCUCCUUCGACGAGUCGAGUAGUUUGGGAAUGCUGCUCUAAAUGGGAGGUAUAUGUCUUCUAAAGCUAAAUACCGGCCAGAGACCGAUAGCGCACAAGUAGAGUGAUCGAAAGAUGAAAAGCACUUUGAAAAGAGAGUUAAAUAGCACGUGAAAUUGUUGAAAGGGAAGCGUUUAUGACCAGACUUGGCCCGGUUGAUCAUCCAGCGUUCUCGCUGGUGCACUCUGCCGGUCCAGGCCAGCAUCAGUUCGUCGCGGGGGAUAAAGGUUUCGGGAAUGUGGCUCCUCCGGGAGUGUUAUAGCCCGUUGCGUAAUACCCUGCGGUGGACUGAGGUCCGCGCUUCUGCAAGGAUGCUGGCGUAAUGGUCAUCAACGA